UUAUUUACAAGGAAGUGAUGAGUUCAGAAGAAAAGACUAAAAAUGGCGUAGUAAAAGGACAACCUUCUCCUUCAGGUACUCACUCUCAGUGAAUAACCAAUUAACCAGUACUUGGGUGCUUUCUUUGGUUCUAAGAAGGGGUUGCAAUCAAUAGCAUUGCUUACAGAGUAUAUGAGCAAAUAUUGCAGGACUGUUUCUCUAUGAUUUUAAUUUAAUUUCUUUUGAUAUUUGGUGUGAUAUUCAUUCUGGAUUAUAUUGAUUUUAAGAUAGUAAUGAAUCCUGAAGAAUUUUUGUUAACAUGGACUGGUUCAAGGGUAAAUGUUCCUAGGAAACAGAGCCAGAAAGCUCUUUUGAUAACCAAUUCAGUGCAGAGGUCAGGAAUCCCUCCAGUCAAGACCUCUUUCCUCAUUCAUUCUCAAUGUUUGGACUCUCCCCAAACUUGGUAAGACAAUAGUUGAAGCAUCUAACAAAAUGGGCUAUAAUUAAAGCCAGCUUGGAAAACCUUUAGUUUGCUAUCUAUAUAAUCAUAUAUAUAUAUAUAUAUAUAAUAUAUAUGUGUGUGUGUAUGUGUGUGUGUUUGUCUCCUAAUGUAUGUUUUAUAUAUAAAUAUAUAUCAAUAUAACAUAUCUAUCUAUAGCUAGAUAUAACAUAUAUACAUAUUUAUGUAUGUAUAUAUAUAACUGGUCCUUGCAUUGUAUUUUAAAACUACUUGAAAUAAUUUACUUGCACCUAUUAAUAAGAAUCUACUUUCUCCCUAAGGCCUGUGUUCUGAAUAUAAAAGUUUUAGAAAAUGUGAUCGUUUGUUUUUAGCUUUAAACUACACUCAGCACAUUCCAGCAAGGAUGUAGGCUGCAAAUGACUAAUUCAGAGGAAAACUUAUUUGUUGUUCUAACUUUAAUAAACAGAUGUAAAAAGAUAUUAGAUGAAUUAAUAAAUUAUAUCAUAUGCCUUUUUAAAUAGCUAAUUUGCACCUAUUUCAUGGUGUUCUCAUCCAAAGCCUUGAGGCAAUAUCUAAUUCCAUCUCGUCUCUUUUCUUCAAGGAGGGCAAAGGGAGUCAUCAGAGUUGUCCCCCACCUUGCCCUACCUAAUCAUUCAUUCUAGCACCUGGAUUAAUAUAAAUCUGCAAAAACGAUUUCUAACUUUCCUGCAUGUUCUAUUUGCUUCUGAUUAAAGAACUCCAAGAUGCCUGAAGAUGCCACUUGCUAAGGCAAAAAAACUCUUCCUUAAGAAUUCCCGUAAUGACUAGAACAUAUUUCCCAAUAGUCAUCCCAUAACUACCUUGUCCCAGGUGACUUUACAUCUUCCCAAGGAAUAGGAUCUUUCCAUCCUGUGUUUCCUACUAGUCCUUGUCUUUUAAAUAUCAGACCUCUCAUCUUAUUACCCCAUAUUGAACAUACGUUUAUUGAGAGAAUUGAAUUCAUUCACCUUUGUGUACUGGAUAGUGUCUGAGUAUUGUGCCAUGAAAUAAUAGCAUCUCAAUAAAUAUUUAUUAAUUUGAAGUUGCCACUCUGUUCCUAAUAUGGUUUGGAUGUGAGGUGUCCCCCAAAAGCUCACGUGUGAGACAAUGCCAGAAGGCUCAGAGGAGAAAUGAUUGGGUUACAGGAGCCUUAACCCAAAUGAGUGAAUUAAUCCUAACAAGGAUUAAUUGAGUGGCAAUUGAAGUGGUAGGGUGUCCCUGGAGGAGGUGGGAAUUGGGGCAUGGCUUUGGGUAUAUAUUCGUAUCUGGAGAGUGGAGUUUUUCUUUCUGCUUCUUGAUCACCAUGAUGUGAGCUGCUUUCCUCUGCCACACUCUUCUGCCAUGUUUAGUCUCCUCUCCAGCCCUGAGAAAUGGAGCCAGUGUUUUAUGGAAUGACACCUUUUAAACCAUGAGCCCUCAAAUAAACUCUUCCUCCUCUAUAAUUGUGCUGGUUGGUCCCUUUGUUCACAGCAGUGAAAAAGCUGACUAAAACAGUUCCUCUCUUAGCAUGUUUCUUGAUGCUAUUCGAAAGACAGAAUUCAAGAUAGUAUCAUAGCUUUAAUACAGUAUGCAAGUCAGUAUAUUUUUAUAUUAUGAUUAUAAAUAUUAACUCACCCUGUUAGUCUCCAUGAAGAUAAAUUGGUCAACUAUCAAGUGCAUGAGUUACUGCUAUUGAUAUUUGUCCAUGCUUCAGAUAAAGGUUUGCUGCUUUGAGGUAGUCAUUUGAUUUAUUCAUUUUGGGAAAUAUAAAUUCACAAUUUUUUUGAAGUCCCACUUACUUUAGUCUGUUAAUGACUAAUUCUAAAAUAUUCCAUUUAACUUCCACCUAAGUGAGAAGACUAAGCUAUUUUUGUAACCAUUCCAACUACCUGUAACAAAGAUUAUCUACUUUACACAUAUACUCUUAAACUACAGUUGAUUGACUUAAUCAAUUUAUAGUUCAAAUGAGUGAAUCCACAAUCAUCUUUCAUUAAAUGACUUUACAGGGAAAAUAUUCAUGACAAUUUUGAUAAAUCAUAUGUUCACUGCACUGACAUAUUAAUGUAUGUUUGUAUAUGUUUGCAUCAUAUAGACAUUGCACAUUAGCUGUAUGCUAGAGCUAACUAUCAGCCCAUGAAAACCAAUUGUGUACAUCUUUUCCCAAAUGUGAGUUUAUUAACCUUAUGUUGGUAUUUGAAACCAGCCAGGAGAGAUUUUUACAACAUGGAUUUGCCUUACAAAUCAGGGCAUGUUUUUUUCUCCUGGAGAACCAAUUGUUAAAUGUUUAUUGACACACCAGUGUGUGUGAAUGUGGUAAACUAUUCUGGAAAGAAAAGGCAAUUACUAAAAGAAACUUUUGAAAAGUUACAUUUUUUUUUUGCAUUCUUUAUUAUAGACACCUUUCCUUAUUAACAUUUGCAUAGCAGAUUUAAUUUUGUAAAUAGCUAGGAUAAAGUAAUCUUACAAUAUAAACUUUCUAAAUAUUCACUUAUGGUAAUACUGGGAAUACUGACACAAAAGAGUAAGUUAAUGCAGUUCCUCAGGGACAAAAUGAUUUUAAUACCCAAACCCAUGUUAUAGUGAUGCUUUAAAAAUGUAAAUAGGAAGUUCAAUGUGCAUUUGCAGAAGAAUUUAUAGGUUUAAAAUUUAUUGAUGGAAUUGCUGUAUAUCAAUAUAUCUAAACUUCAGAUGCAUUCCCAUAUAAAUAAUUAUACUCGUUUUUCUGCUAUCUGAUUUCACUUGCAGAGUGAUUUAUUUUCAAGACUAGCAUAGCUACAUGCUUCCUGAAUUGAUUUGUAAAGACUGCUGAGGGAAUAGUAAUCUAUGAAUAGAAAUUAAUUUUCCUCUAAAAGCGGUUGUCAUAGAAUGUUAGAGCUAGAGCAAAUAUAGGAGGCCAACUUAUUCUACAAUGUGAUUUGUUCCCUCCCUCUAUUCUUCCAGGGAAGGAAAGUUCUUCAAGUUAUAAUGACUCACUAAGAUAAGAAUGCAUAGCAUUAGGUGGGCAGAAAUUUUUCAAACUCUCCAAAUCAAAGAUAAAGUUUCCCAGGUAUUUUUAAUAUACAUCCCUCCUCCCUGGGAUGGGGGGGGCAGUAAUCUCUGCCACUGAGUUCAUCUCUACCAGCUUGAGUCACCAGUCCAAUAUAUUUUAUCUAUCUAACUAUUUAUUUAUUUAUUUAUUUAUUUAUUUAUGAGCUUUAAGCUCAAACAAGUUGAGAGGCUGAAGAUUAUGCAAAUAGAGAAUUCCUCUUUGUGAUUUUUGCCUUCUAAUUUUUCUUCUAAUUCUCUGUAUCUACAUUGUGUGUGUGUGUGUGUGUGUGUGUGUGUGUGAGAGAGAGAGAGAGAGAGAGAGAGAGAGAGAGAGAGAUUGGGUGUGAGGUGUUGUCAGCAAAAUAAUUCCCUUAAAAAACAAAACAACAUUGUCCCCUGAAAUAAGGAAUGCUUAAGGUUAGAUAACAUCCACCUAAGAAAUUUUUCAUUGGUGUUACUUCAUUCCAUAAAACUUAAUUUUUUAAAGUUGAAUGUAGCUAAUAUUCCUCAUUUGCAAACCAAUUAGUAGUUUUUAGUUCCUUUUGAUACCAUUUUAUCAAUGAAAAUGUAUAAUGACUUAUUUAUGGCAAAACAUCUUUUAAAAUGUGUCUCUGUACUGGCUCCUCCUGAGUAGCACUGAGAGAAAGGAUAUUUAUCCAUUGCUGGGAUGUCCGAGGCAAAUAUGUAUUAUAAUCAAAUUCAAUUCAGUUCAAUUCUGUUUAAGAGAUUUUUACAAACUGACCGACAGUAAAUUAACCUGAAGCCAAGUUCCACAUUGCAUCCUAUUUGUUUGUGUAUGGUUUUAUGAUUUACGAAGCUUGUUUAUUACCUACAUAAAAAUAAAUUUGAAUGGGUCAUCUCAAAGCCAGGAGAGGCUGCCCUCAAAUAGGCAUAUAUUAUAAUGCGAUACAAGAAGUCAUGCCAAAGCAAACAUUUUUCAUCUGACAGUGUGGACUGGUUAAUAUUUAACAACCAUCUCUUUAAAAAACAAUCAAACACACAAAAACCUAUGAAAGAACUGAUUAGAAACAUUUACCAACUUCUGUGGUAUUAAUAUACUCUGUGAACAAUUUCAGGCUCCCAAUGUGACAUCAGUGAAUGGAGAGUUGGAAAGAGAUGCUAAUGAUUGGUUCUAGAAUGAUACUAAAAGCUAGCUCUAGCACACAACACAUAGUGUACCAAAAGGGUACCAUGACACUAUACAGAGAGGAACUCUUUCCUGCAUAGAACCUACUGAGUUGGCACAUACAAAACAUUCAAGAAUAUUUUAUAUUGAGUUUAAGAAAAUACUAUCGAAUGUUUUCUGUGUUAUGACAUAAUGUUAACUCAGAGCAUUCCAAAAGUGUGCUGAAAACAUGCUGAUUAUUAAAAUAAUUACAGUAAGAUUGUGUGUUUUAUAAGUACAACCUACAGCAUGGUCUCCUUUUUAUGAAGAGUUUCCUGAAAAGUACUUUGACUUUGUUCUGUAUUAUUAACAGAUGUAAAUUUGUGUUUUGCUAAGGAAAUUUCCUCAGUCUUAUUUGUGUGAUUUAUUUAGCUGUCCUUGAUAUGGACUCCUGUUUACUUGUAAAGAUUAAAUUGUGUUCUUAUAAAUGAGACUUAGCUAAGCCUUAUCUCACCCUUGUUUGAGUAAUUUCAUAGCUUUAACUUGUGACAAUAACAUGUCUACAAAUCAACCCCAGCUAGGAAAAAAUAAAAAAGCCUAAUAUCUUAAGAGAAAGCAUUCAAAGUGGUUAUUUCAUUAUAAUUCAAAUAGAGUAUGGUAACAAAAAAUCUCCCUGAUUGACAUUUUGAUCAACUAUAAUAUUCAUUAUAUAUAUGUAUACAUAUAUCAUGAAAUCUAUUUAUAUAUACUUAUUUGAUAUGUUUAAUUUUCAGUCCAUUGAUAUUGAAACUUUUUAUUAAAAUAAAUCAGUUGUAUUUCUACAUACUAGCAAUGAACAGUAAACUACUCCAUUUAUUAUUCUACUAAAAAGAAAUAAAAACCUUAGAAAUAAGUUUAAGAAGUGCAAACUUUGUACUCUGAAUAUUAUAAAACACUGUUGAAAUAAAAUUAAUUAAAGAAGACCUAAAUAAAUGGUAAGAUAUACCAUUGUUUAUGAAUUUAAAUACUUAAUAUUUUUAAGGUGACUAUUUCCUACAUUGAUUUAGAGAUUGAUUAAACACAGUUUAAAAAACCCACAGCUGUCCUUUUUUUUUUUUUUAAGAAAUUUGAUCUUAAAACUCAAAUGGAAAUGAUGCAAAGGACACAGAAUAACCAACAGAAUCCUGAAAGAGAGUACAUUUGGAAGAUUCAGGUUUCACAUUUCCUGACUUUAAAACUUACAAUAAAAUCACAAUAUUCUAGACAGUAUGCUACUUGCAUGAAGAUACCCUUAAAAGGUCAAUGGAAUAGAAUUGGAUCAGAAAUCCCACAUUUAUGAUCAGUUGAUUUUGACAAGGAUGUCAAGACAAUUUUAUGAGCCAAAAAUAGUCUUUUCAAUAAAUGGUGCUAGGACAGGUGAAUAUUUACCUACAAAAAGAAUUAAAAUGGACCCUUACCUCAUAGCAUAUACAAGAAUAAACUCAAAAUGAACCAUAAAACUAAAAUUAUAAUUAUCAUUAAGAAUAAGAACUAAAAUUAUAAAGGUCUGAGAUGAAAACAGGAAUGAAUUUUCAUGAUCUUAGAUUAGUAAAAGAUAGAUAUAAAACUGAAAGUACGCCUGUAAUCUCAGAAGAUCAGGAGACUGCAGAAGGAGCAUUCUGAGUUCAAAGCCAGCCUCAGCCACAACGAGGUACUAAGCAACUCCAAUGAGACCCUGUCUCUAAGUAAAAUACAAAAUAGGGCAAGAAUGUGGCUCAGUGGUCAAGUGUCCCUGAGUUCAAUCCUUGGUACCCACUCCCACUCCUCCCCUGCAAAAUAAAUAAAUAAAUAAAGCACAAGUGACAAAAAAUAUAGAUAAAUCUGACUUCAUCAAAAUUAAAAAAAAAUGUUCAUUGUUCAAAUACACUUUCAAGAAAAUAAAAAGACAAAAAAGUUGCAAAUCACAUCUGACAGGGAACUUUUAACCAGAUUAUAUAAAGAACUUUUACACUUUUACAACUCAAAAGAAAGUGACGUAAUUAAACAAUGGGCAAAUGAUCUGAACAAACUAUCCAAAGCAGAUAUCAAGUGACCAACAAGGACAUGAAAGAUACUCAUCACUAUUAUAAAACAAAAACCACAGUGAGACCUAUUUUUAUACAUACUCUGAAAUGAAUAUAAUCAAAAAGGUAGGCAGAAAGAAGUAACAGUAAGGUUGUAGAGAAAAUGGAAUCUCUAAAACUGCUGAUGGGAAUGUAAACUGGUGCACCCACUUUAGAAAGCAGUUUGGCCAUUCCCCAUAAAGGAUAAACUCAAAUAGAAUUAAACAUAGAAUUACGUUAUGAUGUAACAGUUUUACCCCUUGGUAUAUACCUAAGAGAAAUAAAAACAUUCAUACAAAAUUGGACACAAAUAUUUAUAACAGCAUUAUCCAUAAUAGUCAAAAUUAAUACAACUUAAAUGUUCAUCAAAUGUCCAUCAACUAUAAAUAGAUAAGCAAAAUGUAAUAUGUCCAUACAAUGGACUAUUAUUCAGAUAUAGAAAGUAAUGAAAUAGUGACACAUGCCACAGCAAGUAUGAAACUUAAAGACACUGUGCUUUGUGGAAAAAAAAAAAAACAGUCACUACUGGUCUCAUAUCGUAUCCUUCUGUUUAUGUGAAAUAUACAGAAUAAGCAAUGUAUAAAGGCAAAAAGUUGAUUAGUUAUUGCCUUGGGUUGGAGGGUGGGUGAGAAAUGGGGUUCAGAGUUUUCUGUUGGGAUGAUAAAAGUGCUACAAAAUAGAUUGUGAUUAUAUCUGUGUAUCUCUGUACCAAAAACAUUGAAUUGGGCAAAUUACAUUUAUAAUUAAUACAAUAUUUGACUUAUAUUUUAAUAAAAUGGCUACAUAAGGAUAUUUAGGUAUCAUUUCACAUUUCAAAUCCAAACUAAAUCUAAACUGCAGUAACAUGAUUUGAAAACCAUCUAUAACGUAAGGAUAUAUCAUUAAGGAGUCAAAUGGAUGUAAGAAAAAAGAAAUCUCACUCUGUCAGGUCCACAAUUGAUCAGGCAUUUAUUAGAGUCUUGUGUUUAAUAAGGACAUGAGAAAAUUGAAUGGGAUUCUGUGAAGUCCUUCAAAGUGAUAUUAAAUUAUUAGAGACUUGACCAUAUGAAAACCCACAAGAAAUGAUGGUCUAAUUUAAUCCAGAAUAGGGGGAGAAGCAUAGUUAGUUGUUUGAGCUAUGUAAGGGCUAAGUAGUAUAUAAAAUCUUAUUAUAAGAGGAAAUGAACUAGCUCUACACCAUUCAUAAAAGGGAUUUGAUUAAGUAAAUUUGGAAUAAAUUGAGACCAGAUAAGUUUACAUUACACAUUAAUUUGAUGAGGGUGCUUAUUUAUGGAAAGAUGAUAACAAGACGUUAAAAAUCUCUUCUAGAAACAUUUAAGAUUAGGCGAUAUUGAUGAUUCUAGGAGUUUAAAGAUCAUGAAAAACAUCUAAUUUUUUUUCUGUGUAUGUAAAUAUUAGGAUUCAAAGAAAUACCUAUAAAAUAAUUACAACUAGGGGAACUUCCUAGCAAAAGGACUAGAAGGAAAUAAACCAACAGAUUUGAAUAGUUCUUACCCUCAGUUUGAGAGUUACUGCAUAUUGACCUUUUUCCCUGUUAAUUUUUAUAUUUCCCAUAUUUACAUAAAUAUUCAUAAUUAACAAGUAAAGCUUUGAAAUACAUGUAGGAUAUGUGCAAUGUGCCUUAGAGUAUGCAUCCGGGUCCUUCCUAGAUACUGUAACAUUUGAGCACAUUUUUUUCCCAUAGGCAAAAAUGUUUACUUCAGGAGAAAAGAUUCUGUGUAUGUUCCACUUCCUUAGUUUUUUUCUGAUUUGUUCAGUCAACAUGAUAAUGCUAUUGUUAACUUAUUUUGAACUUAUUAUUUUUCACCAAAAAGAUCUUGCAUAUUAUGUAUCCUCAAAUACAAUUUUAGUGAGAAUUCCUUGCCCCUUGUUUUAUUAGGUGAUUAUGUGGGAGAUAUUUUUAAUAGGAAACUAUUUCACAAAGCAUGCAUUUUACCACUCAUAUUGCUUAGAUAAAAAGAAUCUAGAAAAAGAAAAGGUUAGUUGACUGCUUCUAGUGUGCUAUGAUUUAAUUUAAUUUUAUAGUGCCUUUGGCUUAUUUUCCUUUGUUGUUCUCAAUGCUGUUGCAACUCAGCAAGUUUUGACUGAACACUUUUUUCCCCUCAGAAUUUAGAAAUCUUUAUAUUACUAUGUGUCAGACAAAUUUAUAAAAGAAUUUUCCAAAUUAAUCUAAGUCCAUAAUUCAGCAUUAUUUGCAGAAUCUCUAUUUGCAGACCUUAGGUAAGCAAGCCUGUUGCAGAGUAUACACAUAAUCAAAAUGUGUGCUCUCUAUAUCUAGCUUCUUUCUUUCUUUUUUUGGGGGGGUACCUUUCAUCAAAAGUUUUAUUUCAUUUUUCUACAUGGGUUUUAAGUUUGGUUUGGGGUUAGUCAGCUUUUGUUUCUGUGACCCAAUUACCUGACACAAACAACUUAAAGGAGGAAAGGUUUAUUUUAUUUCAUGGCUUCAUUGUUUUCACUCUGUGGUCAGCAUGGACCUGAGGUGAGGCAGAACACCAGAGUGGAAGGGCUCAGUGGCAUAGAGCAGUUCACCUCAAGGCAGCACAAAGCAGUGCAAGAAAAAGAGUAGGAAGGCAGCUAUGCUCACCACUAUACCACCAUAACCCAAUUGAGUCAAAUGUAUGAAAGAUGAUAUAUCAUGAGCUUUGUAAUGUUUUGAACAACAAAUAAAAAAAAGAACAAAGAAAAAGAGUAGGGGUGUGGGAGAAGGGCCAGGUACAGAUAAAGUCCUCAAGGGCAUGCCCCAAAGACCCAUUCCUUACAAUGAGGCCCACCCCCUACAGUUUCUACUGUAGAUUAUUAAUUUGCUGAUGAGGUCAGAGCCCUCAUGGUCUGAUCACUUUUUUUCCGGAAUCCUCACCUCUAAAUAUUGCUGUAUUAGGAAUUAAGUCUUUAACACAUGGAAUUUUAGGGGCCAUCUCAGAUCUAAAUCUAAUAGAUGUCAUAUUACUGACUAUGUAGUAAAAUUUACUCUAUAUACAUUCUUUUUGCUAGAGUUGUAAUCUUCAACCAAUUCAGAUUUCUAAACUUCACCUCUGUCUAUAUUUAUGGGACAGGACCCUUGCAUAUAUUUGUUUUAAAAAGUUUCCUGCAUUAAAAGCAAUCAGGCCUGGUAUGGUGGCACAUGCCUAUAUUCCCCAUGGCUUGGGAGGCUGACGCAGGAGAUUGCAAGUUCAAGGCCGGUCUAAGCAAAUUAGCAAGACUCUAAGGACUUUAACAAGACCCUGUCUCAAAAUUAAUAAAAAUCGAAAGGGCUGGGAAUGUGGCUCACUGGUUCAGUGCCCCUGAACUUAAUCCAAAAAACAAACAAACAUAAAACCCAACAAUUGAGAUAAUUUGUCUACUCUGUAAACUAGUGUUUUUUUUUUUUUUAAACCCUAACAUCUGUCUUCUUUAUAAACCAAUGUCUUUUAAUCCCUGAUGAGAUUCAAUCCCAGGUUUGUUUAUCUGUUAUGUUUAUACACCAGUGUUUUAAAAUCCCUGACAGGCUUUCCUAUCUUUAGGGAGCUAUUUAAAAAUGCAAAACCUUGGCCUCACCUAACGUCAAUUCAUUGCAAUAUUAGAGGUACUGGGGCUACAGGGUAUUGGAGGGCAGUGUGAGUGGAUGUUAGUGUGUAGGUCUUUUUUUUUUUUGAAAAGCAUUACAGGUGAUUUCUAAUAUAGAAUGCGAUGUAAUAACCACUGCACUAGCCUGUGAAUAACUGGUACCUAGGGACUGUGUAUUGUUUUAUCAUGAUUUUCCCUGCAUCCGUUUUUCUAUGAAGGUUCAUGGAAUGAAUGAUGGACUAGACAUCUGUCUUGCAUUUGGCCAACCAAGCAUUGUGAAUGAAAUUCAGAUGGGUUUGGUUCCAGAUUUAGUCAUGUUGGUCUUCAUUUUCUUAGCACAGGUGCAGCAGUGAACAGCAGUGAGAGUCUCCCUCCAUCCUCGUCUGUCAAUGACAUCUCCUCCAUGUCCACCGACCAGACCCUGGCAUCUGACACUGACAGCAGCCUGGAAGCCUCGGCAGGACCCCUGGGUUGUUGCAGGUGACUAGCCGCCUGCCUGCGAAACCCAGCGUUCUUCAGGAGAUGAUGUGAUGGAACACACACAUACACACACACAGACACUCAUGCACACACACAAAUGCAGACACAAAAUGUCAAGAAAUCAGAAAGGGAGAGAAUCCAAGCCUAAAAUUGAAACAAAUCUUUCAGCCUGCUUCUUCUCCAAAGUUCUGUAAUGCAGCUAAGCUCAAAUGUCUAUUUAACUUCUAGUUGCUCUUGCUUUGGUCUCCUUCCAAUGAUGCUUAUUACAGAAAGCAGAUCAAACACAAUUAGAGAAGCCUUUCACAUAAAGUGUAAUUUAAAUGGCUGCAAAACCAGCAACCCGUAACUGCCCUUUCAAAUGGCAUGACAAGGUGUGCAGUGGCCCCAUCCAGCAUGUGUGUGUCUCUAUCUUGCAUCUACCUGCUCCUUUUGGCCUAGUCAGAUGGAUGUAGAUACAGAUCCGCAUGUGUCUGUACUCAUACAGCACUACGUAGAGAUGCUACUGUCAGUGUCCUCAGGGCUGUCCCAAGACAUCACGCACUGGGGUACCACAUGGUCCAUUUCAUGUGAUCUAUUACUCUGACAUAAACCCAUCUGUAAUAUAUUGCCAGUAUAUAAGCUGUUUAGUUUGUUAAUUGAUUAAGCUGUAUGUCUUAUAAGAAACCAUGUAAAGGGGGAUACAUGAG
Molecule: long non-coding RNA, 11337 nt
Filed under: Marmota monax (woodchuck)
Lineage: Eukaryota; Metazoa; Chordata; Mammalia; Rodentia; Sciuridae
Source: RNAcentral